This 320-nucleotide long non-coding RNA is filed under the name Phoenix dactylifera (date palm). Its description in RNAcentral is "long non-coding RNA (PDAC_LNC022765)". Lineage: Eukaryota; Viridiplantae; Streptophyta; Magnoliopsida; Arecales; Arecaceae. The record is from RNAcentral.
CAUAUUUUAUCUCUAAUUUUUGAAGUUUCAUCGUUAAUGAAUUAUAAAUGAAAGGGGGAGCAAUUCAAAAAGUCAAAUUGGCAAUAUUUAAAUGAAAUAGGGGGAGAUUUCACUCUUAUAUAUAAAAAGCUGAAAUUCAGCAAGUUAAGCCCUUUUAAAAACUGAUCUUAAAGACAAGUAUCAAUAGGCUCAUACUCUUUAUUUUGUAAUCAUCAAAAAGGGGGAAUUGAGGAUGAUAGUGUUAUUUUGAUGAUUAACAAGCAAUUAUCUAGAGUAUGUUAUAAGUUAAAUUGAUACUUCAUUUAUAAGACUAUUACUCU